UCCUCGUUUGAGCGAGGCAGUCUGUCCAGAGUGCUCCAAACUCUCGUUUGAGUGGCAACAGGACAUAAGGGUUGCGCUCGUUGCGGGACUUAACCCAACAUCUCACGACACGAGCUGACGACAGCCAUGCAGCACCUGUGCAUCCUGAUAUUGCUAUCUCGUCGGGCUUUCACCCUCCUACUAGAUGCAUGUCAAGGCCAGGUAAGGUUCUUCGCGUUGCAUCGAAUUAAACCACAUGCUCCACCGCUUGUGCGGGCCCCCGUCAAUUCCUUUGAGUUUCAGCCUUGCGGCCGUACUCCCCAGGCGGGGUACUUCCUGCGUUAGCGCCGGCACCCAAGGGGGUCGAUACCCCCGACACCUAGUACUCAUCGUUUACGGCGUGGACUAC
Molecule: unclassified non-coding RNA, 388 nt
Filed under: uncultured bacterium
Lineage: Bacteria
Description: contains 16S-23S intergenic spacer region
Source: RNAcentral